GAUGAACGCUGGCGGCGUGCCUAAUACAUGCAAGUAGAACGCUGAAGGAGGAGCUUGCUCUUCUGGAUGAGUUGCGAACGGGUGAGUAACGCGUAGGUAACCUGCCUGGUAGCGGGGGAUAACUAUUGGAAACGAUAGCUAAUACCGCAUGACAACAGUUAUUGCAUGAUAACUGUUUAAAAGGGGCAACUGCUCCACUACCAGAUGGACCUGCGUUGUAUUAGCUAGUUGGUGAGGUAACGGCUCACCAAGGCGACGAUACAUAGCCGACCUGAGAGGGUGGUCGGCCACAAUGGGACUGGGACACGGCCCAGACUCCUGCGGGAGGCAGCAGUAGGGAAUCUUCGGCAAUGGACGGAAGUCUGACCGAGCAACGCCGCGUGAGGGAAGAAGGUUUUCGGAUCGUAAAGCUCUGUUGCAAGAGAAGAACGAGUGUGAGAGUGGAAAGUUCACACUGUGACGGUAUCUUACCAGAAAGGGACGGCUAACUACGUG
RNAcentral lists this ribosomal RNA (495 nucleotides) under uncultured bacterium. Its description in RNAcentral is "partial 16S ribosomal RNA". It matches the Rfam family "Bacterial small subunit ribosomal RNA", at positions 28 to 507 of the family's 1533-position model. The record is from RNAcentral.